RNAcentral lists this ribosomal RNA (250 nucleotides) under uncultured bacterium. RNAcentral's name for it is "partial 16S ribosomal RNA". It matches the Rfam family "Bacterial small subunit ribosomal RNA", at positions 959 to 1203 of the family's 1533-position model. The record is from RNAcentral.
ACGCGUUAAACCUUACCUGGGCUAGAAUGCAGUCUGACCGUGGGUGAAAGCUCAUUUCGUAGCAAUACGCAGAUUGUAAGGUGCUGCAUGGCUGUCGUCAGCUCGUGCCGUGAGGUGUUGGGUUAAGUCCCGCAACGAGCGCAACCCCCUAUCAUUAGUUGCCAACAGGUAAAGGCUGGGGGAACUCUAGUGAAACUGCCGUCGUAAGACGCGAGGAAGGAGGGGAUGAUGUCAAGUCAUCAUGGCCUUU